UGCAAGUCGAGCGGAAGGCUCCUUCGGGGGUACUCGAGCGGCGAACGGGUGAGUAACACGUGAGUAAUCUGCCCUGUGCUCUGGGAUAGCCACCGGAAACGGUGAUUAAUACCGGAUAUGACCACUCCGCGCAUGUGGUGGUGGUGGAAAGUUUUUCGGCGCAGGAUGUGCUCGCGGCCUAUCAGCUUGUUGGUGAGGUAAUGGCUCACCAAGGCUUUGACGGGUAGCCGGCCUGAGAGGGUGACCGGUCACACUGGGACUGAGACACGGCCCAGACUCCUACGGGAGGCAGCAGUGGGGAAUAUUGGACAAUGGGCGGAAGCCUGAUCCAGCAACGCCGCGUGAGGGAUGACGGCCUUCGGGUUGUAAACCUCUUUCAGUACCGACGAAGCGUGAGUGACGGUAGGUACAGAAGAAGGACCGGCCAACUACGUGCCAGCAGCCGCGGUAAUACGUAGGGUCCGAGCGUUGUCCGGAAUUAUUGGGCGUAAAGGGCUCGUAGGCGGUUUGUCGCGUCGGGAGUGAAAACCAUGGGCUUAACUCAUGGCUUGCUUUCGAUACGGGCAGACUAGAGGUAUGCAGGGGAGAAUGGAAUUCCUGGUGUAGCGGUGAAAUGCGCAGAUAUCAGGAGGAACACCGGUGGCGAAGGCGGUUCUCUGGGCAUUACCUGACGCUGAGGAGCGAAAGUGUGGGGAGCGAACAGGAUUAGAUACCCUGGUAGUCCACACCGUAAACGUUGGGC
Molecule: ribosomal RNA, 742 nt
Filed under: bacterium NWDR
Lineage: Bacteria
Description: bacterial SSU rRNA
Rfam family: Bacterial small subunit ribosomal RNA
Source: RNAcentral